UUGGCGGCGUGCUUAACACAUGCAGGUCGAACGAAAGGACGGGAAGAGCUUGCUCUUUCCCGGAAUUGAGUGGCAAACGGGUGAGUAACACGUAAACAACCUGGCCUUCAGGAUGGGGACAACAGACGGAAACGACUGCUAAUACCGAAUAAGUUCCAAGAGCCGCAUGGCCCAUGGAAGAAAAGGUGGCUAAUACCGCAUGAGACCUGAGGGUGAAAGCGGGGAUCGCAAGACCUCGCGCAAUUGGAGCGGCCGAUGCCCGAUUAGCUAGUUGGUGAGGUUAACGGGCCCACCAAGGCGACGAUCGGUAGCCGGACUGAGAGGUUGAACGGCCACAUUGGGACUGAGACACGGCCCAGACUCCUACGGGAGGCAGCAGUGGGGAAUAUUGCACAAUGGGGGAACCCUGAUGCAGCGACGCCGCGUGGAGGAAGAAGGUCUUCGGAUUGUAAACUCCUGUUGUUGAGGAAGAUAAUGACGGUACUCAACAAGGAAGUGACGGCUAACUACGUG
Molecule: ribosomal RNA, 513 nt
Filed under: uncultured bacterium
Lineage: Bacteria
Description: bacterial SSU rRNA
Rfam family: Bacterial small subunit ribosomal RNA
Source: RNAcentral